This 2380-nucleotide long non-coding RNA is filed under the name Homo sapiens (human). RNAcentral's name for it is "HSALNT0094137". The record is from RNAcentral. Lineage: Eukaryota; Metazoa; Chordata; Mammalia; Primates; Hominidae.
AACAUUAGCACAGGGACCUAGACCGUGCACCAGAUAUAGUAAGUACUUUGGGACUGAUAAUAAUAACUAAGAAAACAUGAAGCUGGAAAUUCAUUUCAGCUCUGAGAUAACACCAAGAAGUUUCUGAAAUGUCUUAUAUAAAAGUGCAGCCAAGUGAAGAAAUGCAGCUCCGCUCAACAUUCGGUCUUCUCAGCUUGUCAAUCAGCAUGUGCAAACACUUGCUUUGAAGUGGCAGGAAACAUCAACAAAGGAGCUCAUUUAAACUUUUUAAGAAAGAUUGGAAGUCUAGCUGAACUGCUAGAUUCCUCAGCCCUUGUCUCAUGGAUGAAGUAGUGGGUAGAGUGAAGAAGCUGAAAAAACUUGGAGAUACUGUACUUAUUUACAUAAGAAAAGGCUUGAGUUCUCCAAAAAGGAAAAUUCCCAAAGCAACAGCAAGGAGAGGAAAAAGCAAGCCAGAGAAUCAGGAGCAUUUAAGAGAAAGCCAGUGGGUCCUGGGAGGAACUGGAGGAGCCGGAGCCGGUGCUGGCAGUGCGGGGCUUCAAGGAGCUGAAUCGCAGAGGGGUUUCCAGGCUGUUCCAUUGUAUGUUAUAUGAUGUAACCCCCUUCAAACGACUUCAGUAAAGACUCACAUUACAUUUCAAGGCUUGUGGAACAAUGCAGAAGUGUUCUUUUCUUAUGUGUUAUUGUCUUGGCCUGAUUGGUAAAGCAGGAGUAUGAUAGCGCAAAUUAUUGGAGUGGUGUGCAGAAAGGUCACAUACGGUGGGGCUGGCAUUUAAGGCUCUGUUCUCUUGCAUGAAAAGUGACUGAAAUGGCACAAAACCUGGCAAGUGCAUUUAACCCUAACCCACAUGUGCUUACAAGCAUGACUGAUGGACUCCCACGUAAGUGCCACUCAAGCCUGCUCCCGCUCGUCAGUGCCUCAGGUGGAUGCUGAGGCUCCAGCCAGGCAUCACUGCAGUGACCAGUGACCACAGAGCACUGCCAGGUCUGUCGUCCACCUCUCCACGGCUUCAUCACCUCACAGAGACCCCACCAUACUGCUCCCGGGAAGAAAUACCCCCAAAAAUGUAUGACUGUCUCUGAAAUUGUGCAUGAUUCAUUUUCUUCCUUAGGUUUUUUCUAUAUUUGCCAAAUAUGCUGUGUUAAGCAAAUCAUACAUGGUUUUGGUACAAUUUUUAAAAAUUGGUUUUUCUCCCCAGUUCCUUGCACAGAACACCUAAAACCCUUGGAAUUUAUUGAGACAUAGCAGUAUCUUUUGUUAUUAAUGCCGAUCCCCUUUGGAUCACCCCAGAGUUUAUGCUAAUGAAGUAACUUUGGGUGGGGCCCCUAGAUAGUCUCCCUUGGGUCUGGUCACCAGAAAGAGCAAGUGAUUAUAGAGCUAGAAUUUUCAUCCCCACUCACAGACCUCCAGGAUGUUGGGGAACUGGGGAUGGCUAGAGAUUAAGCUCUAUAAAAACUCUUGAACAAAGAGAUUUGAUAAGCUUCUGGGUGGCUGAGCAUGUGAAGGUGCUGGGAGGAGGCACCCUGAAAGGGCUGGAAGCUCCGAGUCCCACCUCCAUAUCUUGCCCAAUGCAUCCCCUGACUUAGUUUUUCCUAAGUUGUAUUCUUUGUAAUAAACCAGUAAACAUAAGUAAAGUGCUUCCCUCAGUUCUGUGAGACAUUGUGGCAAAUUAUUGAACAUGAGGAGGGGGUCCUGGGUACCUUGGAUUUAUAGUUGGUCAAUCAGAAAUAUCAGAGGCCUGGACUUGUGAUUGGCAAGUGGGGCAGUCUUGUGAGAUUGAGCUGACUCCAGAUAGUGUCAGAAUCUAAUUAAAUUGCAGAAUACCCAACUGGUGUUUGGAGAGUUGAAGAAUUGCCUGGUGUGGAAAACCCCCACACAUCUGGUGUCAGAAGCGUUGUGUGAGGAUGUAGAAAAACAGAGUGUGUUUUCCCAGUGGCUACAGUCCCUUAACAUACACAUGUGUUACUUUAAAAGAAAGCAAGCAAACCAUCUUCUUAAUUAUAACAAUGGUUAAACAACGGGGCGGGCCACUUACAGUUGCUUAUACAGUCAAUCUCUCUGGACAUUUCUUAGAAAAAUCAAUGACUUUGACUUUGGUAAUUUGGAAGUCAGCCUUCUUGGUAGCAUGAAAUUGUAAAUAGUCUAUACAUUUCUCUUCCUUCUCUUCUCAUCCUGGAGGUCUGUGAGUGGGGAUGAAAAUUCCAACUCUGUAAUCAUUUGGUCUUCCUGGUGCUUCAGGUAUUCCCUGUAAUAAAGGAAUUUUAUUUACCCUUCUAGAUUUCUCCCUCCUGAUCCAUUUUCAUACUGCCGUUCUCUAGAUCUAUGUCAAACAACACACACUUUGACCGUGCUCACAAACCUGCAAUAUUUCCUUGUUAU